This 497-nucleotide ribosomal RNA is filed under the name uncultured bacterium. RNAcentral's name for it is "partial 16S ribosomal RNA". It matches the Rfam family "Bacterial small subunit ribosomal RNA", at positions 28 to 507 of the family's 1533-position model. The record is from RNAcentral.
GAUGAACGCUGGCGGCGUGCCUAACACAUGCAAGUCGAACGAAAAGACGGUGAGAUUGUGCUUUCAACGUUGGCGGCGGGCGGGUGGGUAACGCGUAGAUCACAUACUUCUAUUUCGGGGAUAAUUACGGAAAAACGGUGACGCUACCACAUCAUAUUUCGUACCGCUUAGAUCGAUAGUGCAUGGGGGCUUUGCUGUCUGUAUUAGAUGGUGUUGGGCCGGAUUAGCUAGUUGGUAAGGUAACGGCUUACCAAGGCAACGAUCCGUAGCCGACCUGAGAGGGUGAUCGGCCACACUGGAACUGAGACACGGUCCAGACUCCUACGGGAGGCAGCAGUAGGGAAUCUUCCGCAAUGGGCGAAAGCCUGACGCAGCAACGCCGCGUGAGUGAUGAAGGCCUUCGGAUCGUAAAGCCCUGUUAUUGGGGAAGAACAAACGUGGAAUUAACCGCGGACGUCUUGACGGUACCUAAUCAGAAAGCACCGGCUAACUACGUG